UACGUAGGGGGCAAGCGUUAUCCGGAUUUACUGGGUGUAAAGGGAGCGCAGACGGAUGGAUAAGUCUGAAGUGAAAGCCCGCGGCUCAACUGCGGGACUGCUUUGGAAACUGUGCAUCUUGAGUACGGGAGGGGCAGGCGGAAUUCCUGGUGUAGCGGUGAAAUGCGUAGAUAUCAGGAGGAACACCGGCGGCGAAGGCGGCCUGCUGGACCGAAACUGACGUUGGGGCUCGAAAGCGUGGGGAGCAAACAGG
This 253-nucleotide ribosomal RNA is filed under the name uncultured bacterium. RNAcentral describes it as "partial 16S ribosomal RNA". It matches the Rfam family "Bacterial small subunit ribosomal RNA", at positions 524 to 776 of the family's 1533-position model. The record is from RNAcentral.